This is a microRNA precursor of Pan troglodytes (chimpanzee), 84 nucleotides long. It matches the Rfam family "mir-548 microRNA precursor family". Lineage: Eukaryota; Metazoa; Chordata; Mammalia; Primates; Hominidae. The record is from Rfam.
UAAUAGGUUGUUGCAAAAGUAAUUGCGGUUUUUGCCAUUCAAAGCAAUGACAAAAACCGCAAUUACUUUUGCAACAACCUAAUA